RNAcentral lists this unclassified non-coding RNA (340 nucleotides) under soil metagenome. RNAcentral describes it as "partial contains 5.8S ribosomal RNA, internal transcribed spacer 2, and large subunit ribosomal RNA". The stretch from base 1 to 120 matches the Rfam family "5.8S ribosomal RNA", at positions 35 to 154 of the family's 154-position model. The record is from RNAcentral.
GAUGAAGAACGCAGCGAAAUGCGAUAAGUAGUGUGAAUUGCAGAAUUUAGUGAAUCAUCGAAUCUUUGAACGCACAUUGCGCCCUUUGGUAUUCCUUAGGGCAUGCCUGUUCGAGCGUCAUCUACACCCUCAAGCACAGCUUGGUGUUGGGCGCCUGUCCCGCCCCCCACGGGGGCGCGGACUCGCCUCAAAUGCAUUGGCGGCCGGCGACCUGGCUUCGAGCGCAGCAGAAACGCGUACUCGGGGACCGGGCGCCCGCUCCCAGAAGCCAACCCACCCAGUUUGACCUCGGAUCAGGUAGGGAUACCCGCUGAACUUAAGCAUAUCAAUAAGCGGAGGA